Molecule: small RNA, 130 nt
Filed under: Salmonella enterica subsp. enterica serovar Stanleyville
Lineage: Bacteria; Pseudomonadati; Pseudomonadota; Gammaproteobacteria; Enterobacterales; Enterobacteriaceae
Description: RtT sRNA
Rfam family: RtT RNA
About the family: This family represents a bacterial cis-regulatory element known as RtT RNA. The exact function of RtT is unknown although it is thought that it may be involved in changing the cellular response in relation to amino acid starvation.
Source: RNAcentral
AUAUCUCUCUGUACGGGAAGGAUGAGAAGCUUCGACUAAGGUUCGAUUCGAGCGCAGCGAGAAAGCGUUGCCGCAGGCACGACCCGAAGGGCGAAGCGCGCAGCGCUGAGUCAUCCUUCCCCCACCAUCA